RNAcentral lists this ribosomal RNA (432 nucleotides) under uncultured bacterium. RNAcentral describes it as "partial 16S ribosomal RNA". It matches the Rfam family "Bacterial small subunit ribosomal RNA", at positions 29 to 506 of the family's 1533-position model. The record is from RNAcentral.
AACGAACGCUGGCGGCAUGCCUAACACAUGCAAGUCGAACGAGACCUUCUGGUCUAGUGGCGCACGGGUGCGUAACGCGUGGGAACCUGCCCUUAGGUUCGGAAUAACUCCCCGAAAGGGGUGCUAAUACCGGAUAAUGUCUUCGGACCAAAGAUUUAUCGCCUUUGGAUGGGCCCGCGUUGGAUUAGCUAGUUGGUAGGGUAAAAGCCUACCAAGGCGACGAUCCAUAGCUGGUCUGAGAGGAUGAUCAGCCACACUGGGACUGAGACACGGCCCAGACUCCUACGGGAGGCAGCAGUGGGGAAUAUUGGACAAUGGGCGAAAGCCUGAUCCAGCAAUGCCGCGUGAGUGAUGAAGGCCUUAGGGUUGUAAAGCUCUUUUACCCGGGAUGAUAAUGACAGUACCGGGAGAAUAAGCUCCGGCUAACUCCGU